This is a long non-coding RNA of Electrophorus electricus (electric eel), 295 nucleotides long. RefSeq lists it as uncharacterized. The record is from RefSeq and is a predicted model, not a curated record. NCBI's taxonomy places the organism in Eukaryota, Metazoa, Chordata, Actinopteri, Gymnotiformes, Gymnotidae.
AGGAUAGUUACUGAUGAACGUGACACCACAAGUCAAGGCAACUGGGUGGAGCAGGGAAGGCUUCUGCAGAAAGCUUUUACUGCAGCCACCCACCGACGCCCAUUUAGAUGGAUGGGCCCCUCUCCUGUGUGGUCUCAGUAGAACGGAUGGUGCGCACCUCCAACAGCCUGCUCAUCUCUCAGGUUGUCAACAAAGCUGCCUGAAGCUUCCAAGCCCAUCCAAGGCAAAGGAGAUUGUGUGGGUAUGAUGAAGGCUGAAGGCAACCACUCUACCCAGGACUGGAACCCAGUGCUGA